UACAGAGGGGGCAAGCGUUGUUCGGAAUUACCGGGCGUAAAGGGCGCGUAGGCGGCCUUCUAAGUCGAACGUGAAAUCCCCGGGCUCAACCCGGGAACUGCGUCCGAUACUGGAAGGCUUGAAUCCGGGAGAGGGAUGCGGAAUUCCAGGUGUAGCGGUGAAAUGCGUAGAUAAUCUGGAGGAACACCGGUGGCGAAGGCGGCGAAUCCUGGGACCGGCAUUGACGCUGAGGCGCGAAAGCCAGGGAGCGGAACGGG
Molecule: ribosomal RNA, 257 nt
Filed under: uncultured bacterium
Lineage: Bacteria
Description: partial 16S ribosomal RNA
Rfam family: Bacterial small subunit ribosomal RNA
Source: RNAcentral